CCUCCUUUCCGCAGCAGUGGGGGAUAUUGCACAAUGGGGGAAACCCUGAUGCCUCGACGCCGCUUGUGCGAAGAAGUAUUUCGGUAUGUAAAGCCCUAUCAGCAGGGAAGAAGAAAUGACGGUACCUGAGUAAGAAGCACCGGCUAAAUACGUGCCAGCAGCCGCGGUAAUACGUAUGGUGCAAGCGUUAUCCGGAUUUACUGGGUGUAAAGGGAGCGCAGGCGGCACGGCAAGCCUGAUGUGAAAGCCCGCGGCCCAACCGCGGGACUGCAUUGGGAACUACCGGGCUGGAGUGCCGGAGGGGG
RNAcentral lists this ribosomal RNA (305 nucleotides) under uncultured bacterium. RNAcentral's name for it is "bacterial SSU rRNA". It matches the Rfam family "Bacterial small subunit ribosomal RNA", at positions 338 to 658 of the family's 1533-position model. The record is from RNAcentral.